RNAcentral lists this small RNA (29 nucleotides) under Bombyx mori (domestic silkworm). Its description in RNAcentral is "ovarian small RNA-21046". Lineage: Eukaryota; Metazoa; Arthropoda; Insecta; Lepidoptera; Bombycidae. The record is from RNAcentral.
UACGCAAUAUGACACCUGUUGUGUGUCCC